This 469-nucleotide ribosomal RNA is filed under the name uncultured bacterium. RNAcentral's name for it is "bacterial SSU rRNA". It matches the Rfam family "Bacterial small subunit ribosomal RNA", at positions 335 to 798 of the family's 1533-position model. The record is from RNAcentral.
ACUCCUACGGGAGGCAGCAGUGGGGAAUAUUGCACAAUGGGCGCAAGCCUGAUGCAGCCAUGCCGCGUGUGUGAAGAAGGCCUUCGGGUUGUAAAGCACUUUCAGUUGUGAGGAAGGUGGUGUCGUUAAUAGCGGCAUCAUUUGACGUUAGCAACAGAAGAAGCACCGGCUAACUCCGUGCCAGCAGCCGCGGUAAUACGGAGGGUGCGAGCGUUAAUCGGAAUUACUGGGCGUAAAGCGCAUGCAGGUGGUUGUUAAGUCAGAUGUGAAAGCCCGGGGCGUCAACCUCGGAACUGCAUUUGAAACUGGCAGACUAGAGUACUGUAGAGGGGGUAGAAUUUCAGGUGUAGCGGUGAAAUGCGUAGAGAUCUGAAGGAAUACCGGUGGCGAAGGCGGCCCCUGGACAGAUACUGACACUCAGAUGCGAAAGCGUGGGAGCAAACAGGAUUAGAUACCCCUGGUAGCACAG